Molecule: ribosomal RNA, 1563 nt
Filed under: Triticum aestivum (bread wheat)
Lineage: Eukaryota; Viridiplantae; Streptophyta; Magnoliopsida; Poales; Poaceae
Description: partial small subunit ribosomal RNA
Source: RNAcentral
AUGGCGCACCUGCCUCGUGCUCCUCCUCGCACUUCUUGGUUUCAUGAGUUCCCACCCUCUCCUCAUCCUGUUCCCUCCUCCGGACCUCCUCUUCGCCGAGGUUUUCCUGAUGCUCGUCCUCGCCGCAGCAGGCGACAUGCUGCUGGCGCUGCCUCGCCGAUAGGCGGCGGAAGCGGCGGCGCGCGCGACACACUCCAGCGCGCGCCUCCGCUACAGGCCCUGGACGCCCACCAGCGGGUCCAGGGCAACGGGCUCGAUGUUCUGCUGAUGAUGGCCACCGCCUCCUCCUGCGGCGGCAUCAACACGCGCCGCACCGACAAUCUCCUCCCGCUCCUGCUCCCCUGCGUGCGCGAGCAAACCUCCGCCCCCCGAGUCUCUUCGGCUUCCUCCCGCGCCCGCUCCGACAGCGCAGCCGCGGACGCGGAGGAGAACGAGCCCGAGGCGUCCGCGGGGAGGAGCGCGCAGGUGCUGCUCGCCGCGGCAGCAAGUGGCGGGCGCGGCGGCCCCUACGGCCGCCGCCCGUCGUCCUCCUGCGCCCCCUGGAACGCCGGCCCCCUCAUCGCGCACCGCCCGGCGACCCCGUCGCCCGUAUGCUGCCCCGUCGUCGCGUCACCGGAGGAACAAGAGCAAGGGAGCUUACCAACGAGACCCGCUGAUGCUGUCAAUGAAUGGAGAUUACCUAAAGUAAGUGAAGAGGAAGAUGAGGCAGUGAAUCAGAAGGACUGUCAGGAUAAUACUAUGUCAUGUAGUGUGUCCUCAGCUCGUGAUUGGAACUUCGGGUCUGAUAGUGUCUAUGAGGGAAGCAAUCAUGAUGGUCGUGCUUUUGACCAUUCAGAGGUUGAGGAUUGUGCAGCUGCAGUGCAAAGGACGGAGAGACGGGUCCUGGGUCCUGUGAUUAAACAGAAGGAAAGUAUUGUCCUAGACAAGUUGCCUGCCUGGAAGGAUUCACAGAUUCUAAAGCUCAUAUACAAGCUGAAUCAGAAAGAUCGAUGGCAGAAAAACAAGAUUGCACGGCCAGGGAUCAGGGAUGAGCUUACAGAAACUGAGGAACAAGAUCAAGGGAGGUUACCAACGAGAGAGGACUUGGUCAAGUGUUUCUCUAUGCCACGAAACAUCCGACUACAGACUCCCAGGCACCCUUCUCUGCUGGAUAUGAGAGUUGACAAAUCCAAUCGAGGGCCUCCAAAAUUCGUCCACAAGGCCACGCCAGCUAGAUUGAUGCGCCGAGCUCGCUCCUCACAUAAUUACCAUGGGAAGUGCAUGGGAGCAAUUGAUGCUGUCAAUGAAUGGAGAUUGCCUAAAGUAAAUGAAGAGGAAGAUGAGGCAGUGGAUCAGAAGGACUGGCAGGAUGAUACCGUGUCAUGUCGUGCAUCCUCAGCUCGUGAUUGGAACUUCGAGUCUAAUAGUGCUAAUGAGGGAAGCAAUCAUGAUGAUGGUCAUGCUUUUGACCAUUCAGAUGUCGAGGAUUGUGCAGCUGCAGUGCAAAGGAUGGAAAGACGGCUUCCUGGGAUAAACUGGCAAAAACUGAGAACAAGUUGGAGAAGCAGAGAAGUGAAACCGUAG